Molecule: long non-coding RNA, 4958 nt
Organism: Dermochelys coriacea (leatherback sea turtle)
Lineage: Eukaryota; Metazoa; Chordata; Testudines; Dermochelyidae
Exons: 2
Source: RefSeq, a predicted model, not a curated record
CAGGGGGCGGGGGGUUGUGCGGGGCCGGCGCGCGCCAGCCUUGGGGCCAGGCUCCUGCUGCCCGGGCCAGGGCCGCAUCCUCCCGCUCGCCCCGGGCCCGGGCAUUAGGUUGUUUUGGCCCAGCCCCGCCAGCAGCCCGGGCCGAGCGGAGCGUGCAGCGACUCGCUGCCUUGCAACCGAACGCUGCGCCUGGCGGCGGAGGUGGGACUCGGUGAGGCCGGCGGCCACGUAGGCGCCGCUUGCAGCUCGCUGUAAAUCUGAAGGCGGCGUUUGUUCAGGCGCCAGGCAGCUGGAGGCUCUUUUUGGCCUUUCUAGGGGAGCAAACGUGCAAACUUAGUGCGCUGUAGCUCACGAAGGCUUAUGCUCAAAUAAAUGUGUUGGUGUCUAAGGUGCCGCAAGGUCUCCUGUUCUUUUUGCGGAUACAGACUGACACGGCUGCUGCUCUGAAACCUGUCAGCAUGUUGGUUACUGUUCGCACAGUGAUUUGAAAAAGCAGAACCCCGUGCGAGUGCUGAGCAGCGGCCUCAGGGCUGGCUCCCCUGCUUCCUAGCCGAUAUAUGGCCAAGUGCCGCCGCCGCCUUUUUUUUUUUUUUUUUAAAUUCUUAUCAGACUUAAACACUUUUUGUUCAAGACAGUCUGAAUCGACUCCUCUUGCUCAAUGCCAUUACCGAGCAGACGUGCCCCACCCCCGUUCGGAUCUUCAGUUCUAGCUGGUGCUCUCAUUACACUUCUUUUUGAGCUGUAGCUCACAAAGGCUUAUGCUCUAAUAAAUUUGUUAGUCUCUAAGGUGCCACAAGUACUCCUUUUCUUUUUGCGAAUACAGACUAACACGGCUGCUACUCUGAAACCUGUUCUUUUUCUCUGUGUCUCUUUCUCUCUUUUCCUUGAGCAGUCUGCGCUAGGAAAAAACCCUACAUUUCUGAGGCCAACGUGUCUCACUUUCUUCCGUUUUCCCGGAUAAGUUUUGUAUGGGCAACUAAUGCCUGCCUUGGUGCAUGUUGUUUGGCUUUCCAGUUUAGCUGCUGAGCAUGGAUCAGCUUCAUCUCUGUUUUUUCCUGUUGAGGACCCAAGAAACAGGCUUCCAGUGUUGCCCUCAUCAUGUGCCCCUUUCAUGGGGAAGGGACAAAACGAGGAGCUAGAAACACAGGGCCUAAUUCUUCACUACCUUGUUUUGCCAUUUGUACCAGUGCAACUUGAGUGUAAAACACUGCACUAUUGUGAUUUAAUAGUGCUUUUACCCAGGUGUACAUGACAAUACAGGUUUUAAGGCAGCAGAGAAUCAGACCCAGUGUUUCUAGCCAUAAUAAAUUGUGGAGAUGGGGCGGGGGGGGGGACAGGGCUGUGAUGAUGCACCUAAGAAAAGGGCUGCUUUAUUGCUAGGUCAGAAGACUCUUCUAUUGGUGUUGGCACAACAAUGCCUGUUUGAGGAUAAACGGGUCAGAAAUUAAAAUACUUUUUAGGAGCAUCAUUAACCCCUACACUACAUGUCUGUGGGGUUCCUACACAAUCAUGCAAUGUGGCUACAUCUGAGCACCAUCGCAUCCCCCCGCAGAGCCCCACUCUGCAUAGUGGGCUUUUAUUGUCACCCACAAUAAGCAAUUCUUCCUGCUCUCCUCACCCAGCUAUCUCUCAAAGGGGUGCUUUGGAUCCUAGGUGAGUAGCAAUCUUUAAAAUGGCUUCCUCCUCUGUCUUUUUUCAGAGGGAGAGGGUUUUGUUUUUUUUUGUUUUGUUUUGUUUGUUUUAAGAUGGUACUAAAGUUUCAGCUGUGUUCCUUUUAUUCACUGGGUUGGUUUAAUAAUUCUGUCUUCUAGCCAGUAGGAAUAAAAUUACAAUUUUAGAGUCUUACAGCACCAUUAUUGCUAUGGUUUAAGAUUUUGUCACAGGAAUUUUUUCAUCAGAGUCAUGGACUGGUUAUGGGCAAUAAACAUUCAUGGAAUCCCAUGAUCUGGCCAUAGAGACAUCGGAGGGGCGGAGAGGGAGGGCAGGACUGACUGUCAAAGCCCUGCUGCUGCGGGGAGCUGAAGCUGAAGAAGUCACAAAGGUCCAUUAAAGUCACGGAGUCCAUGAUCUCAGCGACAAAAUUGAAUCCUUAAUUAUUGUAUAAAGACAUUUAUGUCUCAAAGGUAAAUGGCAAUGAAUUUAAGCAAAUUUGGGUUCUAUUUUGCAGCUUUAUGAUGUACAUGGAGUCUGAAAAGUGAAUGUUCAUGUGUCAUUUUUUUUUUUUUUUUGCAAAAUACAAACAAAACAUCAGAAAUUCAAAUUUAUACAUUGUAUGGAAGAUGCUGACUAGAGAAUUAGUAAAACGAAAACAUCAAGGAGCCAAGAGAGUAAAAAGUUGAACCGUGGAAGAAAUUUUUCGUCAGACUGUUUGACGGUUUGGUUUUGCUAACACUUGUGUCCAAGGUAUUAAUAAAAAAAAAAAAAGUGGGGUGAAGGAUAGGUUUUUCCAAAAUUAGUUUUAAAAAAAUCUAUAUUUAGGCAUGUAAAUAAGGGACCUGUUUUUCAGAAGUGUUAAUUGAGCACCCAGCUACUCCCACUGGAAACCAGCAACGUAUAUGAUACAAUGACAAAUUCAAUACAAUACAUGUUUCAGCUGACUGGCUGGCAUUAAAUGUUUUUACUGUAAUACCUGUGGAAGGUGUGAGUGACAGCACAGAGACUUGUCUUUUAACCUCUCUCUAUCCCUAGAACAGCUACAACACAAACAUUGGGAGUGUUAGCUUCCCCUGAUCUUGCUGACAUGGUGCGUUAACUUUUUUUGGUUUGUUUUUUGAGGCACCUACUCUAGAGGUGAAGAGACUGUUUAAUCAUUGUGCCUAUUCAGAUUGUUGCAAAUCUCAACAGAGAUGCCAAAAUGUAAUUGCUAUAUGGACAUCUGUCUACUGGGCCUUGGAAUUAGACGACUGGUUCAUUCUGUCUGAGCCCCUGAACAGUUGUCUGCUUAUAGACUUAGAAGUGACUCAAACUGAGGAUGGUUUUGAACCAUUGACUGAGGUGAGAGGCUGCGAGCUGUAUUUCCAUCUCUUCUAACACUGGAGAAAAUCCACGGUAAUUCCAUUGACUCGAGUGGACAUCCAUUAGAUUGUCAGUGGUGUACCUGAUAUCAGGACCUAAUUCUCUAAAUGCUGAGCUAUCUAGUUUCAUGAUUAAAAAAAAUAUUUAAGUGGUAAUUUACAAACUAACAUUAAUAAAAUGGAGAUUUGUGGUUUUAACAAGAGACUGUCAGAGACCAGGACAUGGGUGGUCAUGUCUAAUGGUUAGAGCAGCAGUUGGGAGCCAGGAACAGGACUCCAGAGUCAGUCAUGUUACCUGGAAUGGGACAAAGGUGAGGCCAGGAGACAUCUCAGCCGUGGAUAAAUGCUUUGAGCAGCGACUGAACUACUGUAGCAGUGCUUAAGAGCCGUUCUGCUGACUCUUCCCACUAAUCAGGCAGCCUACUACAGGCCAGCUGCACUGGUUAGAUUUAUCCAGGAACUGGGUUUGCGGCAGGCCCUGAUUCCUGACAGAGACCAUAUAUAAAUAAAUGGGAUAGCAUUUUUAAAUUACAUGGCUAGUUACUAGCACUACCAGGUUGUCAAUAGAGGAGUCUUAUUUUAUUACACCAUGCUUAAGAGAACUCAUUGUUUUACUGCACUUAAUGAUGUUAAGGGGCCCACUGGGGUUUACUCUAAAAAUAAUUAAGACUUGACUGUGAGCCAGAUUCUGCCCAUAAUUAUACACAUGCACAAUUCCAUUAAUUGGGAGUUGGGUGCCCAUAACCAAAGGCAAGAUUUUGACCUUAGAUAAUAAUUAGGAGAGGCUUCACAAGUUCAGCAUAUUCACAUGUAUCACUGUUGGACCUGGCCUCACCAGGUCCUCAUAGUUGCUCAAUUUCCCCUCUUUGUGGGCUUUUCACAAACACAGCAAUAGGGCCAGGAGAAGCAUUUGAAAAGAGCAGGGUUAAUGAAAUGGUAAAACCACAAAUUGGAGCUGGGGACAUUGGGAACAGUGCCUGACAUUACUCUGAAGUCUUUCAUUUAAAAAAAAAAAAAAAACCUGUUUAGAUUUCAAGUUGAGGUCUCUAUAUAUCUAUUGGUAAGUUUAGUGCAUCUAUAUUAUAUUUGAAGCUGUCCCUUUGGUUAGUACAUCUAACACUCGCUGUAAAGAAUGUAAUUAUAUUUACUCAGUUCUUUUAACAACAGGGUGAGUGAAGAAUUGUGGGUGUAUGGACAGUGUAUUUUUGAAACUCUGCACUAAAACUUUUUUUUUUUUAAAUUCCAACUGCCUGCUAGAAUACUGACAGGAAAAGGUAUAUUUAGUCACAAUAAAGGAGUAUCUAGUAACAUUUUCAUAAGUUUCCAAACCUUUCAUUUUUCUCUCAAUAUUAACUUAAUAAAUGCUGACCCAAAAACAUACAAAGUAAGAGUAUAUUUAAUGAACUUUUAAUAGGAUACAUUUCUUUUCCUCGUGUUGGUACAAUUUAACAUUGGGCGGGAAUCAUUACCAUAUAGUUUGUGUAAAAUUAAUUUUAAAUACAUUGCAUAAAUAUUCAAGGUUACUUGCAAGGAAAACUGUCAAAUGCUAAGACUUUGGGGCCUACAUUAGAGUUCCUGGGCACCUAGUGACUUCAUUCAGACUUGUGGAUGCCCGGUGAAUACAAGAUUAGCCCCAGACUUGACAUAUCAACAAUCUAAAUGUACUAAGCUGUGAAUAGUAAUGGAGCUGAGAUGACUGGGGAGCUUCUGGUAGAUAUCAAGAAGAAGAAUCAAAUAUGUUAGCAUGAUAUCUCUGACUUCAACAAACAGCCUACAGCUACAAAACAAGCCCAUCCACUGAGUAAUGGUGAACAAAACUAGAAUCUGUACUGGUUCCAUGCCUCCAACUAGCAUCCCUACUUUAGAGCAGUGCCUAAACAAUCCAACAGGAUAUUUGGAACAAUCUUGCUUGUCAAGGAACAUACAAUAGUGCUUGCCCUGUAU